GAAAAACCCACAACAACCAUCUGUCCAGUUUGAAUUUGCCAAUAUUGUGAAGUACCUUAAUAAGCAAGCCACUUCAGAAUAGUGGCAGCUGAGGAUUCAACUGUGGGCAAUUUCUCAACCAUUCCUUUAAAAUUAUAAGUGCAUUUACUCUGGGAGAAGGGGGUGCAUGCAAUGUCCUACAUCCAAUAUAGAACAUCUGCUGAUGAAUCUCCUCUGCCCAAAGCAGCCCCCCCCCCCAAUGCAUCCUGGAAACUACUCUGGGAAAUCCUCUGCUCUUUCUGCCCAAUGCCUCCCCUAAUCAAACAACCUCUUGCAAAGGCAAUCAGCUAAAGAUGCUUUGGUUCUCCCAAAGAGCCGAACUGAAACAAAAUUAGAAUGGGUGCUUGUUAUACUUCAGUGAAGCAUUUUCCCAAUCCAGGGACUCCUCCCUUUGGUACACAGAAACACACACACACUCCAAAUGGGGAGGGCUACUUUUACUGUUCCACAUUUGGCAGAAUCUUCAGCGGCUGCUGUUUAUAAAGGUCCAAGCAGCCAGUAAAGGGAGACGACACAACUUGAUUUGUACCUUACUUACAGCUGUCUUCUGAAGCAUUUCCUGCAUAAAGUCCAGAUUAUUGCCGCUGAUCAAGAACUUGGAGGCUGCUGAUCAACAAGCUGUUGUUGGCUUCUGACAGAGAGGAGCAAAAGCAACCCACAAAAGGAAAUGAAUGCUUCUAGGAGGAUACAUUGCCUUCGUGCUCAUAGACCCAAGCCUCCUGCAAGUAUCGGAGAGAACGUUCAGAAUUCAUGCGGGUGCCAACCGUGGUGUGGGAAUGAGAGGACAACUGUACAGACACUCUAUAUGCUGAUUGUUGUGAUCCUCCUGAUUGCAAUUUGGGGAGUGUGGGCAAGGAAAGAUUCCUGAGCAUGCUUCACAUCAGCUACUCCUGGAGGUCCUCUGCAGACAGAAAGGACCAAAACUUCAAAACUGAUAUACCCUGGGGCUCUUCUUGAAAUGAAAUUGAGAUUACAGUUAUGGAUGGAUUCACAGCUCUUGUUUUGAGCAAUGCAUGGGAUGAAAGAAAGAAGGAAAGAAAGAAGGAAAGAAAGAAACUAUUUUUGUACAGCUGUGUGUAAUGAUAAUAAUGUUAUAAUGCGCCACUUUAAAAGUACAUGUAAAGUAUUUAAUUAUACAUAUAAUAAAUGUACAUAUGAUUAAAAGAUUUUGUCA
This 1213-nucleotide long non-coding RNA is filed under the name Pogona vitticeps (central bearded dragon). Its description in RNAcentral is "lncRNA (ENSPVIG00000008360.1)". The record is from RNAcentral. Lineage: Eukaryota; Metazoa; Chordata; Lepidosauria; Squamata; Agamidae.